Molecule: small RNA, 643 nt
Filed under: Crinipellis sp. GL-2017
Lineage: Eukaryota; Fungi; Basidiomycota; Agaricomycetes; Agaricales; Marasmiaceae
Description: eukaryotic LSU rRNA
Rfam family: 5.8S ribosomal RNA (bases 243-396)
Source: RNAcentral
UUUCCGUAGGUGAACCUGCGGAAGGAUCAUUAUUGAAACAUUGUGAAGGAGGUUGAGCUGGCUUUUGCAAGUGCUCACCUUCUUUCAAUCUUCAUCCACCUGUGCACCCUUUGUAGGGAUAUAGAAGUCUGGAACGGUGUAAAAGCCAAGUACGGGUCUCUAUUCUCUAUGUUUUUACACACACUUAACGUAUGUUUAUGAAUGUCUACUAGGGACUUAAUUGACCCUAUAAAAGUUAAUACAACUUUCAGCAACGGAUCUCUUGGCUCUCGCAUCGAUGAAGAACGCAGCGAAAUGCGAUAAGUAAUGUGAAUUGCAGAAUUCAGUGAAUCAUCGAAUCUUUGAACGCACCUUGCGCCCCUUGGUAUUCCGAGGGGCAUGCCUGUUUGAGUGUCAUUAAAUUCUCAACCUCAUAAGCUUUUGCUUAUUGAGGAUUGGAUGUGAGGGUUGCUGGCUUGUAACAGAGUCAGCUCCCUUGAAAUGCAUUAGUGGAUUCAACCAGUUGUAGACCACAUUGGUGUGAUAAUUAUCUACGCCAUUGACUAAGUGUCUGCAGUUUGGAAGGUUGCAAUGUAACAGUUGCUCUUUCUGCUCCAAGUGUUGUCCGCUUCAAACCGUCCUAAGUUACUGGACAACUUGACCU